This 229-nucleotide ribosomal RNA is filed under the name uncultured bacterium. RNAcentral's name for it is "partial 16S ribosomal RNA". It matches the Rfam family "Bacterial small subunit ribosomal RNA", at positions 568 to 796 of the family's 1533-position model. The record is from RNAcentral.
UGCGCAGGCAGGCUUGUAAGUCAGUGGUGAAAUACUGCCGCUUAACGGUAGAACUGCCAUUGAUACUGCGAGUCUUGAAUAUGGUUGAGGUAGGCGGAAUGUGUUGUGUAGCGGUGAAAUGCAUAGAUAUGACACAGAACGCCAAUUGCGAAGGCAGCUUACUAAGCCAUUAUUGACGCUGAGGCACGAAAGCGUGGGGAGCGAACAGGAUUAGAUACCCUGGUAGUCC